Molecule: ribosomal RNA, 441 nt
Filed under: uncultured bacterium
Lineage: Bacteria
Description: partial 16S ribosomal RNA
Rfam family: Bacterial small subunit ribosomal RNA
Source: RNAcentral
CCUACGGUGAGCAGCAGUGGGGAAUAUUGCACAAUGGGGGAAACCCUGAUGCAGCGACGCCGCGUGAGUGAAGAAGUAUUUCGGUAUGUAAAGCUCUAUCAGCAGGGAAGAAAAAAGACGGUACCUGACUAAGAAGCCCCGGCUAACUACGUGCCAGCAGCCGCGGUAAUACGUAGGGGGCAAGCGUUAUCCGGAUUUACUGGGUGUAAAGGGAGCGUAGACGGUAUGGCAAGUCUGAAGUGAAAGCCCAGGGCUUAACCCUGGGACUGCUUUGGAAACUGUUAGACUAGAGUGCUGGAGAGGUAAGUGGAAUUCCUAGGGGAGAGGGGAAAAGCGUAGAUAUUAGGAGGAACAACAGUGGCGAAGGCGGCUUACUGGACAGUAACUGACGUUGAGGCUCGAAAGCGUGGGGAGCAAACAGGAUUAGAUACCCGAGUAGUC